CAGGAGAGCUUCAGCCUGGAUGCCCUCCACCAUGGCCUGGCACUCCCUCCUCUUCAGCUUCCUUGCCUACUGCACAAGCUCUGUGGCCUCCUAUGUGCUGACGCAGCCAUCCUCAGUGUCAAUGACUCUGGAACAGACAGCCAGGAUGACCUGUUUGGGCAACAACAUUGGAAAUAAAGAUGUGCAGUGGUACCAGCAGAAGCCAGGUCAGGCCCCCAUCCUGGUCAUCUAUUAUGAUAACGGCAGGCCCUCCGGGAUUCCUGACCGGUUCUCUGGUGCCAACUCUGGAAACACGGCCACUCUGACCAUCACUGGUGCCCAGGCUGAGGACGACGCUGACUAUUACUGUCAGGUGUUGGAUGAUAGUAGUAAAGUUCACAAUGACACAGGCAAAUGGGGAAGCAAGAUAAAAACUCGCCACCAGCCUGGUGCCCACGGCCCCUCCCUGCCCUAG
Non-coding RNA from Chinchilla lanigera (long-tailed chinchilla), 454 nucleotides. The record is from the annotation of a RefSeq genome assembly. Lineage: Eukaryota; Metazoa; Chordata; Mammalia; Rodentia; Chinchillidae.